CUCCCUUGCUAUCUUUGUGGUUCUCUAGAGACUUCUUAAAUAAGAUCUGAUACAUGCAGUUCUUUGAGUUGUAUUCUCCUUUUCUGAUACAGAAGCCCUAUUUAUGUCAGGAUGAGAUAUGUAGAAAGGGAAAGCAUUCUCCAGUUCUAUGAUUAGGUCUUAGUCUUUAAGUGAGCCCUGUGCCCCUGGGCCGUGACCUUCACAAGUGUUUCUCAGUGCCCCUACCCUCCUUAGGUGAGACAUGAAGGCUAAAGAGGGCUGGAGUUGGCUAUUUCUCUUUCUUUAGUUCCAUUAGGCUCUGGUGAAUCCCCAAUCAGGCUCUGGUGAAAUAGUUUCUUUUGAGGCCAAGGCACGUUAAGAACAAAAUGUUCUAGGCUUAUUUCAAAAUAGCUGUUUUCCCCUUUCCCCUGCCAGAAGCACAGGGAAUUUUUCUCCUAUCUUUGCUGUGAGAACUUGGUAGAGCUUCUAGAAUUAACACUCACAAGAGUGUGAGGGACCCCCUAAGACUGGGUCCCCCUGGAAUUUUUAACUUUCAAACUUGACCACACUGAGUCUCCAAGAAUUCGUCACAGUUUAGGUUUUCCUCCUCUGGUACUGGUUCCCGUUCCAGAGGCUGAGCAAGAGCUAGACUUAAGAAGAAAACCAAAAAUAAAAUUUGAUAUUGUGGCAGCCAUGGGGAGAAACUGUUUUCAAGAAGAAAGAAGUGGUCAGCAAUGUUACCAAAGAGGAAGUAACGUGAAAUUGAAAAAGUUCAGCAGCCUGGCUGGAGAUGUGUGAAAAGGAGACCAUUGUGUUGAUCCAGAGUUGGAGUUUGUCCACGUGACAUAGGAGAAAGAGGCACUGAAUGAACAAACAUAAUGGUCUAAUAGACUCUGAAGUCAAGACAGGGGCCUUGUGAAGAGAAAUCUGAGUUAAGAAAAGUUCAAACAACUGUGUCAUCACCAUGAAAAGCAGGAAGCUGAGGGAUGUGCGAUUUGAGUGCACAGGAGAGCUAAAAGGACACUUUAACCCCUAGUGAUGACUUCAGUGCUCUGUGUUUAAAGAACUCUGGCUGACAUAGCUCUUGCUCUUUUCUUUUUUUAAAUUUUAAUGAUACUCUUGAUUCUUAUGUGGUAGUUAUGUUCUAUAAAUUCACUGUGAAUGCUGGAUUAGUAAAUACUGGAUCAUUGCCUCUAGGAGAUAUAAGAGGUUAGGUUCCUGUGAGCCUUUGGUCACAUGUCCCCAGCCAAUCCAUACAUAACCUAGUUUUAUGUGUGUUUCUGUUUAAAGACACCUGUUUAAUAUGUAUUGUUGAUUCAUUAACAUUGAAUUCAAAAAACAUGCCAUAAAGAGACCACGGAAAUGACACUUGCUUACUGUAGGAGGGCUGAAAGAAGGCAGAACAUCCACCAAUUCAACUUCAGCUGGAAGUGUCUGUCAAGCGACUAACAUUUUUUGCCACUCUGCACAUGUGUUAUGUCCACAAAUGACCAUGAAAGUGCCACAACUAUUGAUUUGAGGAUUACAAAUAACUUUUAGUGAGUGGGCAUAUUUGCAAGUAUGGAAUCUGGAAAUAGCGAGGAUCAAAUGUAUGAAUGUAUUUUAAAUUUUAAAAUGAAACGUAAAAAUAAAAAACUUUCUUGUCCAUCUCUACUGUUCCCAUCCCCCACUCCAUCUUUCCUUUCUAGAAUAACCACUCUCAGUUUCCAGUGCAUUUACAUAUAUGUGUA
This is a long non-coding RNA of Equus quagga, 1709 nucleotides long. RefSeq lists it as uncharacterized. The record is from RefSeq and is a predicted model, not a curated record. The transcript has 4 exons. NCBI's taxonomy places the organism in Eukaryota, Metazoa, Chordata, Mammalia, Perissodactyla, Equidae.